CAUCUUGAUAGCUUGACAUGUUCACCUAUAUCCGUGCUCAUAAACUGCCUGCGUCGAUAGGGGAAAUCGUGACGGGGUCUGCUUCCAUGUAGGGUGGAGGUUUUCGGGAGGUUGACCAGAGGUAGUAGUUUAAAGGUUGCUUUGGAUGAGAUGCAUGAUGCGCUUGCUCGUUGGCUAGAACUACAACUAGAAGAUGAUAGGCUCUUGCUACCCUUAAUGGUGCUAUAUCUUAUAUAUCUGUGGAUGUGAUCUACCCUUAUUCAUGAUAUUAAUCUUUACAACAAGUUUGCCUUCAUAUGCAAUCAAUCUUCAUGUUAGGAUUGCUCCGUUAGAUUAGAUGGAAAACCCUAGUCAGUUCGCUGCCGAUCCACAGAUUAAUAAACCUUGGACGAAUACUCUAAGGGAAAAGCUACAAUGAUCCGUGCGCUUGCAGUUCACAAACUGGCAUGCUAACACCCGCCAACAGUGACAUGGAUAACUUUUCUGCUUGCUGACUAAGCCUUAUAAUACUUGCUCUUAGGGCAAGUACAUUGGUAUCAUCUAAUAAGAGGUAUCAUACAUUGAUACGUAAUCUUGAGAUGACUUAAUAGAUAACUCGUACAAUGGGUUAUCAUUUAAAUUGUCUAAUAGAGCUAUAUAAUUUCUUAAUUUACGUAUAUAAAAAAGAAAUAUAAUGAGUUGCAUGGCAACAACUCGUAUAAUGGUUGUGAAGUUAUCUUGUAACCCUAAAAUUUAGCUUAGGAGGUAAUUGUCUCACGAAACAACAACCUCUUUCUCUCACCUCACUCUUUUUUCUCCACAUUAUCAAAAAAUAUGGCAUUGCAUGAGACGAC
RNAcentral lists this long non-coding RNA (833 nucleotides) under Setaria viridis. RNAcentral's name for it is "long non-coding RNA (SVIR_LNC006296)". Lineage: Eukaryota; Viridiplantae; Streptophyta; Magnoliopsida; Poales; Poaceae. The record is from RNAcentral.